UACGAAGGGGGCUAGCGUUGCUCGGAAUUACUGGGCGUAAAGCGCGCGUAGGCGGAUCGUUAAGUCGGGGGUGAAAUCCUGGAGCUCAACUCCAGAACUGCCUUUGAUACUGGCGAUCUUGAGUCCGGGAGAGGUGAGUGGAGCUCCGAGUGUAGAGGUGAAAUUCGUAGAUAUUCGGAAGAACACCAGUGGCGAAGGCGGCUCACUGGCCCGGUACUGACGCUGAGGUGCGAAAGCGUGGGGAGCAAACAGG
Molecule: ribosomal RNA, 253 nt
Filed under: uncultured bacterium
Lineage: Bacteria
Description: partial 16S ribosomal RNA
Rfam family: Bacterial small subunit ribosomal RNA
Source: RNAcentral